UUUAAUAAUUUUUCAGUGACAUAUAUUUUAAAUGUUACAUACUUUAUCUGUAAGCUUAAAUUAUUUAUAUAUAACUGAAAAGUUUUAUUAUGCAUAUUAGUUAUGUUAUUAUACCUAAAAAACCCAUGUCUUUGGAGAAUACUGACAGAUGUAAAUUUGUUUAUUUCUAUAUCAAAUGACUCCAAACGACUAUGCUUUAAUAGUAACGUCACAUGAAGAAACUGAAUAAAGUUUGGGGUAUUUAGAUUGAAGAAAAUAAGACAUAAGAGAGGUAUGAAAUCAUUCUUUAACAUUUGAAGGGUUAUUUUGUGAAUGAGGGAUUAGAAUUAUUUUGUGUGUCCUGGGGGAAGAAUGAGAAGCAGUCUAUGUGGAGUUUUGGCUCCCCGUGAGAAUGAACUUUCUGGUGAAUAAAACUGUGGCAUCGACUGGCUAGCCAUUUCCCAAAUUUGUUUCUUCUCGUCCUGACGCACCGUUAGGCGGUAUUUCCCAGCCUCCUUUGCGGUUAGAUGCGUCCACGUGACUGGGGUCUGACUGAUGGAGUGAGAUGUUUGCUGCUGUCAGGCCUGGUCCAUGAAUACCCUCCUGGCACCUUCUUCCAUGCUCGUUCUCCUUCCACUGGCUUGAUGCUGAUGAUUCUGGAAGCCUUGGAAGCUACACGCCAAAGAGAGAAGGAGCCUGUGCCCUGAGUCAGUGCUUGGAGGGGAGCCUGCCACCAGUCAGACUCAUAAGCAGCAGACUCCUACCCAGCUGUGGUAAGUUGAGCUCCUAUACCCUGAGGAGCAGCGUGUAAACACUGAUGGAGGUAGAAAGAGGUGAACAUUGAGUGGUGACAAAGAUGGCGGAGGACAAGCAGAACAGGAGCUGUGCUCUUCAUGCAGGUGCUUGGAGAAAACAAGUCAUGUCCCCAACCUCAAAGUGGCAUUGCUGUCAGGGAAGAAGCCUGUGCAAUGAGUGGGACGGGCUGAUGGAAUCUCUUAGAGGACCCUGCAAAGCUUGGGUUCUGCUGGAUCCACUGCCUCAUUUCAUUCUGGUCUCUGCUCAUCGUCACCUCCACAGAGAGCCCACUCCUGACAUGCCAUCUCCAACACCUCCCCUUAGUCUCCCAGCCCUUGCUCUGCUGCAGAUUUUCCUUACUUCCUUUUAUCUCUGCCUGAAUUAUAUUAUCUAUUGGUGUGUUUUUUAUUUGUUUAUGGUCUGUCUCCCUGCACUAGAAUGUAAGCCCGGUGAGGACAGGUGCUCUGUUUCUAGGAUGCACCUCUGUUUCCCCAUAGACACUCAAUUCCAUUUGUUAUCGAGUGGACGAUUAUGUGAAUUCCAUAUCUUGGGCUUCUCCUGAAAAGAUCUAAAGCUCUACAACUCUGCUUUUCAGAAAAGAUUUGGAACAGAUCAUGGUCUAUGGAGUUUUUUUCUUCUUUGCUAAAUUAAGCUAAAAAUGACUUUUCCUCCCAGGAUUAAGUUCACGCCAUGCCUCUAUGUUCACCACUAACGGGGAGACAGAAAUCCUUAGUACCUGUGAGGGUAAUUUUGACUUACAUUUGUAAAUUUCCUAAGGAAAUUGCCUGAUAUUCUCAGACACCGUAAAGCCUCACUUAGUAGCUUUCAUGAAUUUGUAAUGGUAUGGGCAGAAUUUGGCUUGAAGUAUAUUUUCUCUUUUGUUUUCUGAAAUAAGGUUUUGCCGUGUCAAGUAAUAGUCUGAACAAGAUUGCAUGGGAACUGCUAAACUGAUUAACAAAAUAAUUUCUUAUCCAAGUUUUUCUAGAGUAUUCAGCCACACGAAUACACCCGUGCUCCAAUGGUUUUAAUGACUCAUCUCUAUUGAAUGGAACAGGUGAAAUAGAACCUUGAAUUCAAAUGCUAACUUUGGGUCUCGUUUGAACCUUACAACAAACGAUAAAAUUUUGCAGAGACCAGGACACAAAAUUUGUGUACUCCAUUUUUGGCAACAAACAUUAAGAAACAAUUAAUAAAAUAGAUGCGUUCAAAGAAAGUCCCCUUGAUAGUUGAGCCCUAGGUUGUGCCUCGAAAUUCCUGUUUUUUUCAUUUGCUCAUCUAGAAGGUGAUAAUGCCACCAUUGUUAGGCAACCGCAUCUAGUUCCUAAGCCAGUCCUGACUAGGGCCAGAGGCAUAUUAGCAUCAUUGUUCCCACCAGUAAAACAUAAUUAAAAUAAUAAUACUUGCCGUUUCCUGAAUGCUUACUACAUGCCACAUAGUAUGAACUUAAAUAGGAUUUCCUUUAGUCUUCUUGAUCAAGCCCAUGAGUUAGGCAUUGUGUCAUUUUACAAAUGGGGAAACUGAGGCUCAAAGAAGUUAAUUAAUUUAUGCCCCAAAGUCCCACAGCUAGUAAGCAGCAAAGCCAGGAUUUAGAACCAAUGCUUUUAACCCUCAAGUCACUGCUCUUAUCCAGCGCACCAACGACAGAUGGCCUUUGGUGCCGUACACUCAGCCUCGGUGCACUGAAUAAGUCCCGUGUGCCCUGCCAUCCUCCAAGGCUCUUCCCUCCAGCACUCCUGUGGCUGUUGCAGUCCACAGGGCUGGAGCUCUGCCUUGGUUUCUCUUCCUAGCCCUCUAGUUAUUUCCAGUAACAGCCUACUGUUCCUGGCCCAAUGUAUGACUGAUAUUUGGCAUGUUCUCCUUCGUAUGGCAACUCCCAGGGACAUACUCCAGCCCACUGAUGAGAACUCUUUGAUUCUCUUGCCUGUCAGAAUCACAUCUGAGCUUGCUCAGUCCUUUAAUAUUGCUUUUCAUCGCCUUCUCCAGGCUCUAUAGACAACAUAGUUUUCCCUAGUCCCAUCCUAAUGACCAUGGC
Equus caballus (horse) is the source of this 2806-nucleotide long non-coding RNA. The record is from Ensembl. Lineage: Eukaryota; Metazoa; Chordata; Mammalia; Perissodactyla; Equidae.